This is a non-coding RNA of Gorilla gorilla gorilla (western lowland gorilla), 148 nucleotides long. It matches the Rfam family "Metazoan signal recognition particle RNA". From Rfam's summary of the family: The signal recognition particle (SRP) is a universally conserved ribonucleoprotein. NCBI's taxonomy places the organism in Eukaryota, Metazoa, Chordata, Mammalia, Primates, Hominidae. The record is from Rfam.
GCCAGGCAUGGUGGUGGGUGCCUGUAAUCCCAGCUACCCAGGAGGCUGAGGCAGGAGAAUUGCUUGUGCCCAGGAGGUGGAGAUUGCAGUGAGCCAAGAUUGCACCACUGAACUCCAGCCUGGGCAACAAAGCGAGAAUCCGUCUCAA